UCGAUGCGAUGCUCAGCAAACGGAGUUG
Molecule: non-coding RNA, 28 nt
Filed under: Bombyx mori (domestic silkworm)
Lineage: Eukaryota; Metazoa; Arthropoda; Insecta; Lepidoptera; Bombycidae
Source: RNAcentral